AGUUUGCCAUCAUUGAUUGGGCACUCUAAAGAGACUGCCGGUGUCAAACCGGAGGAAGGUGGGGGAUGACGUCAAGUCCUCAUGGCCUUUAUGACCAGGGCUACACACGUACUACAAUGGCCGGUACAAAGGGCAGCGACACAGCGAUGUGAAGCGAAUCCCGAAAAGCCGGUCUCAGUCCGGAUUGGAGUCUGCAACUCGACUCCAUGAAGUUGGAAUCGCUAGUAAUCGCCGGAUCAGCACGCCGCGGUGAAUACGUUCCCGGGCCUU
Molecule: ribosomal RNA, 270 nt
Filed under: uncultured Desulfocapsa sp.
Lineage: Bacteria; Pseudomonadati; Thermodesulfobacteriota; Desulfobulbia; Desulfobulbales; Desulfocapsaceae
Description: partial 16S ribosomal RNA
Rfam family: Bacterial small subunit ribosomal RNA
Source: RNAcentral